Molecule: ribosomal RNA, 1540 nt
Filed under: Klebsiella pneumoniae
Lineage: Bacteria; Pseudomonadati; Pseudomonadota; Gammaproteobacteria; Enterobacterales; Enterobacteriaceae
Description: bacterial SSU rRNA
Rfam family: Bacterial small subunit ribosomal RNA
Source: RNAcentral
AAAUUGAAGAGUUUGAUCAUGGCUCAGAUUGAACGCUGGCGGCAGGCCUAACACAUGCAAGUCGAGCGGUAGCACAGAGAGCUUGCUCUCGGGUGACGAGCGGCGGACGGGUGAGUAAUGUCUGGGAAACUGCCUGAUGGAGGGGGAUAACUACUGGAAACGGUAGCUAAUACCGCAUAACGUCGCAAGACCAAAGUGGGGGACCUUCGGGCCUCAUGCCAUCAGAUGUGCCCAGAUGGGAUUAGCUAGUAGGAGGGGUAACGGCUCACCUAGGCGACGAUCCCUAGCUGGUCUGAGAGGAUGACCAGCCACACUGGAACUGAGACACGGUCCAGACUCCUACGGGAGGCAGCAGUGGGGAAUAUUGCACAAUGGGCGCAAGCCUGAUGCAGCCAUGCCGCGUGUGUGAAGAAGGCCUUCGGGUUGUAAAGCACUUUCAGCGGGGAGGAAGGCGAUAAGGUUAAUAACCUUGUCGAUUGACGUUACCCGCAGAAGAAGCACCGGCUAACUCCGUGCCAGCAGCCGCGGUAAUACGGAGGGUGCAAGCGUUAAUCGGAAUUACUGGGCGUAAAGCGCACGCAGGCGGUCUGUCAAGUCGGAUGUGAAAUCCCCGGGCUCAACCUGGGAACUGCAUUCGAAACUGGCAGGCUAGAGUCUUGUAGAGGGGGGUAGAAUUCCAGGUGUAGCGGUGAAAUGCGUAGAGAUCUGGAGGAAUACCGGUGGCGAAGGCGGCCCCCUGGACAAAGACUGACGCUCAGGUGCGAAAGCGUGGGGAGCAAACAGGAUUAGAUACCCUGGUAGUCCACGCCGUAAACGAUGUCGAUUUGGAGGUUGUGCCCUUGAGGCGUGGCUUCCGGAGCUAACGCGUUAAAUCGACCGCCUGGGGAGUACGGCCGCAAGGUUAAAACUCAAAUGAAUUGACGGGGGCCCGCACAAGCGGUGGAGCAUGUGGUUUAAUUCGAUGCAACGCGAAGAACCUUACCUGGUCUUGACAUCCACAGAACUUUCCAGAGAUGGAUUGGUGCCUUCGGGAACUGUGAGACAGGUGCUGCAUGGCUGUCGUCAGCUCGUGUUGUGAAAUGUUGGGUUAAGUCCCGCAACGAGCGCAACCCUUAUCCUUUGUUGCCAGCGGUUAGGCCGGGAACUCAAAGGAGACUGCCAGUGAUAAACUGGAGGAAGGUGGGGAUGACGUCAAGUCAUCAUGGCCCUUACGACCAGGGCUACACACGUGCUACAAUGGCAUAUACAAAGAGAAGCGACCUCGCGAGAGCAAGCGGACCUCAUAAAGUAUGUCGUAGUCCGGAUUGGAGUCUGCAACUCGACUCCAUGAAGUCGGAAUCGCUAGUAAUCGUAGAUCAGAAUGCUACGGUGAAUACGUUCCCGGGCCUUGUACACACCGCCCGUCACACCAUGGGAGUGGGUUGCAAAAGAAGUAGGUAGCUUAACCUUCGGGAGGGCGCUUACCACUUUGUGAUUCAUGACUGGGGUGAAGUCGUAACAAGGUAACCGUAGGGGAACCUGCGGUUGGAUCACCUCCUUA